RNAcentral lists this ribosomal RNA (492 nucleotides) under uncultured bacterium. RNAcentral describes it as "partial 16S ribosomal RNA". It matches the Rfam family "Bacterial small subunit ribosomal RNA", at positions 29 to 507 of the family's 1533-position model. The record is from RNAcentral.
AGUGAACGCUGGCGGUAGGCCUAACACAUGCAAGUCGAACGGCAGCACAGUAAGAGCUUGCUCUUACGGGUGGCGAGUGGCGGACGGGUGAGGAAUACAUCGGAAUCUACUUUUUCGUGGGGGAUAACGUAGGGAAACUUACGCUAAUACCGCAUACGACCUACGGGUGAAAGCAGGGGAUCUUCGGACCUUGCGCGAUCGAAUGAGCCGAUGUCGGAUUAGCUAGUUGGCGGGGUAAAGGCCCACCAAGGCGACGAUCCGUAGCUGGCCUGAGAGGAUGAUCAGCCACACUGGAACUGAGACACGGUCCAGACUCCUACGGGAGGCAGCAGUGGGGAAUAUUGGACAAAGGGCGCAAGCCUGAUCCAGCCAUACCGCGUGGGUGAAGAAGGCCUUCGGGUUGUAAAGCCCUUUUGUUGGGAAAGAAAAGCAGCAGGUUAAUACCCCGCUGUUCUGACGGUACCCAAAGAAUAAGCACCGGCUAACUUCGUG